RNAcentral lists this unclassified non-coding RNA (150 nucleotides) under soil metagenome. RNAcentral's name for it is "partial internal transcribed spacer 1". The record is from RNAcentral.
CCGAGUUUACAACUCCCAAACCCCCUGUGAACAUACCACUCGUUGCCUCGGCGGAUCAGCCCGCUCCCCGGUAAAAACGGGACGGCCCGCCAGAGGACCCCUAAACUCUGUUUCUAUAUGUAACUUCUGAGUAAAACCAUAAAUAAAUCA